Molecule: non-coding RNA, 79 nt
Organism: Zalophus californianus (California sea lion)
Lineage: Eukaryota; Metazoa; Chordata; Mammalia; Carnivora; Otariidae
Source: the annotation of a RefSeq genome assembly
GCCUGACUGGCUCGGUCGGUAGAGCGUGUGACUCCUGAUCUCAGGGUCGUGAGUUCAAGCCCCACCCCCAUGUUGGGCG